Molecule: non-coding RNA, 149 nt
Filed under: Gorilla gorilla gorilla (western lowland gorilla)
Lineage: Eukaryota; Metazoa; Chordata; Mammalia; Primates; Hominidae
Source: Rfam by way of RNAcentral
GCUGGGCGUGGUGGUGGGCACCUGUAAUCCCAGCUACUCGGGAGGCUGAGGCAGGAGAAUCGCUUGAACCCAGGAGGCCGGAGGUUGCAGUGAGCCAAGAUGGCGCCACUGCACUCCAGCCUGGGUGACAGAGAGAGACUCUAUCUCAA